RNAcentral lists this long non-coding RNA (311 nucleotides) under Arabidopsis lyrata. RNAcentral's name for it is "long non-coding RNA (ALYR_LNC000932)". Lineage: Eukaryota; Viridiplantae; Streptophyta; Magnoliopsida; Brassicales; Brassicaceae. The record is from RNAcentral.
UCUUGGGCUAGGGCUUGAAUAAGGUCAGAAAUACACUCUCACAGAAGGAGAGAAUGAAGACUCGAGCUUGAGUUGAACUCCAAUCGCGACAAAGACGAAACUCAAAAGCUCUUUCUAAACUCAAAAACGAAUCUUCUCAUUAAGUUUAGGGUGUGAUGACACACCACAUAAGUCAGAGAUGGUGCUAGUAUUGAAACCGUAUAACAAAUUAAAGUUAUCAGAUUCAGAUCUUUCAACACCAUCGUUACGAAAGAGCAAAUGAUGGGGAUUUGGAAUUUUGGAUUUGCCAUAAGAAUUACCUAAAUCUAUAC